This 356-nucleotide long non-coding RNA is filed under the name Mytilus galloprovincialis (Mediterranean mussel). Lineage: Eukaryota; Metazoa; Mollusca; Bivalvia; Mytilida; Mytilidae. The record is from RNAcentral.
CCUAAACCAUAUAUAUUCAUGUAUGGGACAAUAUAACAAAUCAGAUGAAAUAUAGGGGAGUCCCUUGUGUCACCCCACCCCCUCCUGUUUGAGAAUUUGACACCCGUUGAGAUCACCACCUCUUAACCAUAUAUUCAUGUACGGGACAACAUAACAAUUCAAAUGAAAGAUAAGGGGAGUCCCUGAGGUCACUGUACACCCUUCUGUUUGAGAACUUGGAAAUGGUCAAGAUCCUUACCCCUAAACCAUAUAUACUCAUGUAUGGGACAAUAUAACAAAUAAAAUAAAAAUAUAGGGGAAGUUCCUGUGGUCACCCCAACCCUCCUGUUUGAGAACUUGGAAACGGUUGAGAUCCC